Molecule: long non-coding RNA, 211 nt
Filed under: Daucus carota (carrot)
Lineage: Eukaryota; Viridiplantae; Streptophyta; Magnoliopsida; Apiales; Apiaceae
Description: long non-coding RNA (DCAR_LNC006589)
Source: RNAcentral
GACGGAAGUCCCAAAUAAUUUCCACUAGAAAGAUCAUUUGUAACUCCAAGGAUAUUCAUAACUUCCAGUUGCUUGUCUCUGCGGACGUUGGAACUAAAGAAAAUGCCUGACUUUUAAAAAUUAACGGCUUGACCAGAUAAGAGUUCAUAAGUAUUCAGAAUCCCCUUUCUUUUUUUUGCUUCAUCAUGCUCAGCUCUAAAGAAUAGGAAGC